Molecule: ribosomal RNA, 444 nt
Filed under: uncultured bacterium
Lineage: Bacteria
Description: bacterial SSU rRNA
Rfam family: Bacterial small subunit ribosomal RNA
Source: RNAcentral
CCAGACUCCUACGGGAGGCAGCAGUGAGGAAUAUUGGGCAAUGGGGGCAACCCUGACCCAGCCAUGCCGCGUGAGUGAAGAAGGUCUUCGGAUUGUAAAGCUCUUUCGGACGUGACGAUGAUGACGGUAGCGUCUAAAGAAGCACCGGCAAACUUCGUGCCAGCAGCCGCGGUAAUACGGAGGAUGCGAGCGUUAUCCGGAUUUAUUGGGUUUAAAGGGGGCGUAGGCGGACUGUUAAGUCAGCGGUAAAAGCCCGGGCCUCACCCCGGGCGUGCCGUUGAAACUGGCUGUCUUGAGAUGUCGAGAGGUAUGCGGAAUGCGCAGUGUAGCGGUGAAAUGCUUAGAUAUUGCGCAGAACUCCGAUUGCGAAGGCAGCAUACCGGCGGCGAUCUGACGCUGAGGCACGAAAGCGUGGGUAUCGAACAGGAUUAGAUACCCCAGUAA